Malurus melanocephalus (red-backed fairy wren) is the source of this 10128-nucleotide RNA transcript. It is a transcript of the gene named Ral GTPase activating protein catalytic subunit alpha 1, with no coding region annotated. The record is from RefSeq and is a predicted model, not a curated record. The transcript is spliced from 42 exons. Lineage: Eukaryota; Metazoa; Chordata; Aves; Passeriformes; Maluridae.
UGCCAUGGGGACGCCUGGGGUCGUACCUGACGGCUGUCGUGAAGCAGCGGGAGGAAAGCGAGGGAGGAAGAAGGGGGGAGUGCAGGCCCAGCCCGGCCCCCGGCCCGCGGGGAGUUGGCUCCGCGCCGCGCCCCUCCGCCCUCGCCGCAUCGCAGUCGGAGUCGGGAGGAGGAGGAGGCGGCGCUGCCGCCUCUGGCUAUGUAGGGGCCCCGGAGCGGGCAGAUCCGGAGGCCGCUGUCCGCCACUGGAGCGCGGCGCCGGGCCCGGCGGGAUGUUCUCCAAGAAGCCGCACGGGGACGUGCGGAAAUCCACGCAGAAGGUGCUGGACACCCGCAAGGAUCCGCUCACCCGACUUAAGCACCUACGCGUCCUCAUCGAGAAUGCAGAAUCAAUUGAUCUCAAACAGUUUUUCGACCUACAUUUUUCACAUAUAUAUUAUGUGUUCUUUGAAAAUUUUGUGACUAUUGAAGUAGGCCUUAAACAAAAAGGUCACAAGUCUCAGAGAGAAGAAUUAGAUUCUAUUCUUUUUAUUUUUGAGAAAAUUUUACAACUCCUUCCUGAAAGGAUUCAUCAGAGAUGGCAAUUUCAUAGUAUUGGGUUGAUUUUAAAGAAGCUUCUUCACACUGGAAAUUCAUUAAAGAUACGUCGAGAGGGUGUGCGUCUCUUUCUUUUGUGGCUGCAAGCACUUCAAAAUAACUGUAGUAAAGAACAAUUAUGGAUGUUUUCUUGCUUGAUACCUGGAUUUUCAUCACCACAGUCUGAAUAUGGCCCCCGAACACUAGAUAAUCUCAUUAACCCUCCCCUUAAUGUUCAAGAAACUCAAGUGACUAUAGAAGAAAUCACUCCACUUGUUCCUCCACAAUCAGGAGAUAAAGGACAAGAAGAUUUAACAAGCUAUUUUUUAGAAGCACUUUUGAAAUACAUGGUAAUUCAGGUUAAGAGUUUAGAAUGGAAGAACAAGGAAAACCAGGAAAAGGGAUUUUCAUUUUUAUUCUCAAAUUUUAAGAAAUACUACUUACCUUCUAUUUUCCCAAACAUCUGUAAGGAGACCAGCUUGUAUAACCCUAUACUUGAUAUACCACAAAUGAGACCAAAGCCACACUAUGUAAUAGUUAAGAAAGAUGCUGAAACCAAUGAGGCAAUAUAUUGCACAAAGGAACCUUUCAUUAAGGCUCGUGUUAUCGUCAUUCGAUGGUUGGUGUCUUUCUGGCUUGAGCCAAAACCUCAUACAGGACCUCAUAUUCCUGGGAUGGAAGGUGAAAAUGUGCCAAAGAAUAUUCAGAGAGCAGCUGCUAGCAUGGCUUCAAGGGAGGACAGCAAAAAUGACAGUACUGAUAAGCAGGAUAGAAAUGCAGAACCAGAACAAUCUCAUUCUAAUACAAGUACUCUAACAGAGAGGGAACCAAGUUCUUCCAGCCUCUGCAGUAUUGAUGAAGAGCACUUAACUGAUAUUGAAAUCGUCCGGAAAGCUUUUUCUUCUAAAAGAAGCAAUGUUAAUUUUCUAACUGAGAUUUUCCGACAGGCGUUUCUGUUGCCAAUAUGUGAAGCAGCUGCCAUGAGGAAGGUGGUGAAGGUGUAUCAGGAAUGGAUUCAACAAGAAGACAAACCUUUAUUUAUGAAGGAACCUGAGGAAAUAAUGCAGUGCACAACUGUAGAUUGUGCUGAAAAUGUUGACCAUAAUUCAUCAGAGAAAGGAAAAGAAAGAGAAGAGGAAAAAGGGAUGAACUCCAGUCAUGUUAGAAAUUCAAACUGGACAAGAAAUGGCUGUUAUGAAGACACUUUGCAUAAGACAUCUGAAAUUGAUGCUGAAGAGCAAAAUGUACAAGCUGGAGUGCAGUCAGUAUUGCAGGUUUUUAUAAUAAAUUCUUCAAAUAUAUUCUUUCUUGAACCUGCAAAUGAAUUUAAAGCUCUGCUGGAUGAACACACUGAUAUGUGCAAACGCAUUCUUAAUAUCUAUCGCCACAUGGUAGUCCAAGUGACUAUGGACAAGAAGACAUGGGAGCAGAUGCUACUCGUGCUGCUCAGAGUAACUGAAUCUGUGCUGAAAAUUCCACCCCAAACUUUCUUGCAGUAUCAAGGAAGAAAAAACUCCACUUUAGCUGGAAGACUUGCAGGACCUCUUUUCCAGACUCUGAUAGURGCUUGGAUCAAAGCAAAUCUAAAUGUGUACAUUUCUCGAGAACUUUGGGAUGACUUGCUGUCUGUGAUGUCAUCACUGACAUAUUGGGAAGAGCUGGCCACUGAGUGGUCUCUGACAAUGGAGACRCUUACUAAAGUAUUAGCUAGAAACCUCUAUAGCCUGGACCUCAGUGACCUGCCAUUGGAUAAAUUAAGUGAGCAGAAGCAGAAAAAACACAAAGGCAAAGGAGUUGGGCAUGAAUUCCCAAAGGCUUCUGUUGAUAAGUCCUUUUCYAGAGGCUGGAGCCGUGAUCAGCCUGGACAAGCACCAAUGAGACAACGCAGUGCUACAACCACUGGCUCUCCAGGAACAGAAAAGGCAAGAAGCAUAGUACGGCAGAAAACAGUUGACAUUGACGAUGCUCAAAUUCUUCCACGUCCACCUCGAGUCAGACAUUUUUCUCAGAGUGAGGAUGCUCCAAGUGAAGUUUUUGGUGCAUUAAAUGAGGAACAGCCACUUCCACGAAGCAGCAGCACCUCUGACAUCCUGGAGCCAUUCGCAGUUGAACGAGCCAAAGGUGCAGUUCCUGUCAUUGACAGUUCAUCCCAUCAUGCUCCAAGCUUGCAGAGUUCCACUGAGACCUCUUCAAUGCAUAGAUCCACUGAAAGCCAUAUCACUGAUACAAGUAGCAGAGAGUCCUCCUUGGAAGUUGGGGAUAGUAUUUAUGACCAUCUUUGUCAUUUAAUAGGGCCAGUAGAAUUUGCAAACACUGCCUUUGAACARAGCCAGUAUGUUGACCUUGAAGGUGAAGAUGAUCUCCUUUCUUCUCUGAGAGAAUAUCUUAUUAAAGAAAAAGAAGAACUUUGCGGUAACUUUGAGAUAGAUAAAUGUGAGGCUUCUGCUCAUGAAGUUGAUACAUCAGUAAGUAGGAACAAUAGAUURCCACUGGAUGGAUUAGAAAAUAGAGAUCAGACUGAUCAAUGUGUGACUAGCAUCGCUGUUACAGAAAGAGCCGAUACCACAGAGCUGCACCUAGAACAAAACCCAAGUGGCUUUAUAAGUAAUAUUGCACCUACUCAAGUAGACUUUUUUACAAGAAAUCAAGCACUCAAUAAAUCCAGACAGUUAGAUAUUGAUAAACAAUAUGAAAGCGUGUUUGAUCAUGGGUCAAGUAAUCCUAGCAGCAAAGAAGGGAAGAGAUAUCUGUACAGGCAAGCAGCCACUGAAGCGGAUGUAGAUUUAGCUGUGGAAGCAGCAGUAGCUGAAAAGCAUAAAAGUGCCCAGUUUAAUGAAAAAGUGACCAGCUCACGURUUGUCCAUGCAAAGAAAAUUCUUCCUAAAGCGCAAGUUGAUCCUCAAAUGCCUCACAUCACAGGCACAAGCAAACUGGCACCAACUAAAAGAAGUAUAUCUGAAACAGUAACUCAUAGGGCCAAAAUAAUGAAAAUUACAGCUAGAAAAAGAAACAGCGUUCAUGUUACUUUUAGGCCAUCUACAGAAUCUGUUCAGUUUUACAAUCCUCUUGAGAACAAAGAGGCUGCUUGGAAAGCAAGACUUCGUAAACUCGGUGGCUUCAGUAGCAGCAGUAGUGGUAGCAGCAAUAUCAGUGCCAGUGCAAGCACUAGCUCAUCAGCUGCCACAGAGUUGGUUAGACCUGGAAUAUAUAGACAUCUAGAUGCAAUCAAUGCUGCUUCUGCUGGCAGCAAGCAAGUUAAGGAAUCUUCAGAAACUCAAGCAGCUGUGUUGCAGAAAGAAGGUAUUGCGGUUAGUCAGUUCCAAUAUCGUAGUGCCUUUAGAGCAUCAGGUCAGGAGUCAGCACAACAGCAGGGCUCCCUGGGUGGUGUUUAUAAAACUGUCGUACAUGCUCUUUCGAAGCCGAAGGCAAAUGUUUCCCCACAGAGGCAGAACAGAAUGCCAGCAGAGGCUCCACUGAGGGAUCUGUACAGUCAUGUAAUGGGCUAUUUUGGAAGGAARGCUGCAGCUAAUAGAGAGGACAUGAGUCAAAAGCUGCACCCUAUUGAUAGUGAUAUUGACAGUAGCAAUACGAAUGUUCCUGACCUGAUGGAUGAAUUUAUAGCUGAGAGACUCCGCAGUGGUAACGCAYUGAAUGUAACAAGAAGAGGAAGCAGUCCUGGCAGCUUGGAAGUUCCUAAAGACCUUCCGGAUAUAUUGAACAAGCAGAACCAAAUGCGUCCUGUAGACGACCCAGGAGUGCCUUCCGAGUGGACGUCACCUGCCAGCGCGGGCAGCAGUGACCUCAUCAGCUCAGACAGCCACUCUGACUCCUUCAGCGCCUUCCAGUAUGAGAGCCGCAAAUUUGAAAAUUUCAGCUUUGGCACUGAGGCAGGGACGCCAGCUUCUACUGACAUUGAUGGAAUUUCAGGACAGCAACAGAGUGCUGAGGAACAAGAAGUGGCCAGUCUAACUACCCUCCACAUAGAUUCAGAAACAAGUAGUCUCAAUCAGCAACCAUUGUCUGCUGAAGCUGCAACUAUUACUGGCUCUGAAAGUGCUUCUCCAAUCCAAUCUGCUCUUGGAUCCCGAUCACAGACACCCUCUCCUGCCACUCUUCAUGCAGAUCAUAUUGAGCAGAAGGAUCUGCAACUGGAUGAGAAGCUCCACCACUCUGUUUUACAGACGCCAGAUGACCUAGAAACUAGUGAAUUCCCCUCAGAAUGUUGCAGUGUGAUGGCUGGGGGAACACUUACAGGAUGGCACGCAGAUGUUGCUACUGUGAUGUGGAGGAGGAUGCUUGGAAUUUUGGGAGAUGUCAACAGCAUCAUGGAUCCAGAGAUUCAUGCCCAAGUUUUUGAUUAUCUGUGUGAACUGUGGCAGAAUCUGGCCAAGAUAAGAGACAAUCUUGGUAUUUCAACAGAUAAUCUAACCUCACCAUCUCCCCCAGUUUUAAUUCCACCACUGAGAAUUCUAACACCAUGGCUCUUCAAGGCAACAAUGCUGACUGAUAAAUACAAACAAGGAAAGCUACAUGCGUAUAAACUUAUUUGUAAGACAAUGAAGCGAAGACAAGAUGUUUCUCCAAACAGGGAUUUUUUAACUCAUUUCUACAAUAUAAUGCACUGUGGACUUCUUCAUGUGGAUCAAGAUAUUGUCAAUACAAUCAUCAAGCACUGCUCUCCUCAGUUCUUUUCACUUGGUUUGCCUGGUGCUACCAUGCUUAUUAUGGAUUUCAUUGUAGCAGCAGGAAGAGUGGCUGCAUCUUCUUUCCUCAAUGCACCAAGAGUUGAAGCACAGGUUCUUUUAGGAUCUCUUGUCUGUUUUCCCAAUUUAUAUCAUGAACUACCAGCUCUUCACCCAAAUAUUCCUGACAUUGCUGUGUCUCAGUUUACAGAUGUUAAGGAACUCAUAAUUAAAACUGUGUUAAGUUCAGCAAGAGAGGAGCCAUCUGGUCCUGCACGAUGUGUUGCUCUUUGCAGCCUUGGUAUUUGGAUCUGUGAGGAGCUAGUUCAUGAAUCACAUCAUCCUCAGAUCAAGGAAGCAUUGAAUGUGAUUUGUGUUUCUUUAAAGUUUCCAAAUAAAACAGUAGCCCAAGUUGCCUGCAGUAUGCUGAACAUGCUGAUCCAUUAUGUACAUAGACUUCAACUGUAUCAAGCUGAUUCACCUUUAAGAAUUAUUCAAAUUCUGAUAGCAACUAUUACACAUCUGCUACCCAGUACAGAAGCUUCCUCUUAUGAGCAGGACAAGAGAUUGGUGGUUUCUUUACUUCUGUGCUUAUUGGAUUGGAUAAUGGCCUUGCCAUUAAAGACUUUGCUGCAACCUCUUCACACUGCAGGAGGAGAAAAUGAUAAGACUGAAAGAUCCGUUCUUAAUUGUAUAUAUAAGGUUCUGCAUGGUUGUGUCUAUGGGUCUCAGUGUUUCAGCAACCCUAAAUAUUUUCCUCUCAGCCUUUCUGAUCUGGCAUGUAUGGAUUAUGAUCCUUUUAUGCAUUUAGAAAGCUUAAAAGAACCAGAACCACUGCAUUCUCCAGACUCAGAGAGGUCUUCUAAACUUCAGCCAGUCACUGAAGUGAAAACUCAUAUGCAACAAGGAUUAAUUUCUGUUGCUGCUCGUACUGUGAUAACACAUCUAGUCAACCACUUAGGCCACUAUCCUAUGAGUGGAGGCCCUGCUAUGCUGACCAGUCAAGUGUGUGAAAACAAUGACAAUCCAUACAGUGAAAGUCCUGAGCUUUCUCCUGAACUUUUUGAGAACCCAAAUCUUCAAUUCUUUGUAUUAAAUAACACUUCCCUAGUGUCUUGCAUACAAAUCCAAGCAGAAGACGACAUGCCUGGGGGGGGACUGUCUGCUGGACUUGCAUCUGCUAAUUCAAAUGUUAGAAUUAUAGUGCGCGAUCUGUCUGGCAAAUACUCAUGGGACUCGGCCAUUUUGUAUGGACCAUCAUCUUUAUGUGCAUCUUCUCAACAAACAUCUUUUGCACUUUCAUUAGCUCAGCAAGAUAAACCAGAAGAUGCUCUUUCAUCUUUUGAACAUGUGGAGGAUGURUCUGCAAGGGAUGGAAUUACACUCCAAGUUAAAAGGAAAUUUAGAGACACUGUACCAACAUGGGAUACAAUUAGGGAUGAAGAAGAUGCUCUUGAUGAGCUGCUGCAGUAUUUAGGUGUUACAAGUCCUGAAUGCUUACAGAGAACUGGUGUUUCACUAAACAUCCCUGCUCCUCAACCAGUCUGUAUCUCAGAAAAGCAGGAGAACGAUGUCAUCAAUGCAAUUCUGAAACAGCACACAGAAGAGAGAGAGUUUGUUGAAAAGCAUUUCAAUGAUGUAAAUAUGAGGGCUAUGGAGCAGGAUGAGCCAACCUCACAAAAGCCACAGUCAGCAUUUUACUACUGUAGAUUACUUCUCAGUAUACUGGGAAUGAAUUCAUGGGACAAAAGAAGGAGCUUUCAUCUYCUGAAGAAAAAUGAGAAGUUACUUCGAGAACUCAGAAAUUUGGACUCAAGGCAAUGCCGAGAGACACACAAGAUUGCAGUGUUUUAUGUGGCUGAGGGACAGGAAGAUAAACACUCCAUUCUUACGAAUACUGGGGGAAGUCAAGCCUAUGAGGAUUUUGUAGCUGGUCUUGGCUGGGAGGUAAAUCUCACAAACCAUUGUGGCUUUAUGGGAGGACUGCAAAAAAACAAAAGCACUGGAUUGACCACUCCAUAUUUUGCUACCUCAACAGUAGAAGUAAUGUUCCAUGUGUCAACAAGAAUGCCUUCUGAUUCAGAUGACUCUUUAACAAAAAAACUAAGGCAUUUAGGAAAUGAUGAAGUACACAUUGUCUGGUCAGAGCAUACUCGAGAUUAUAGAAGAGGAAUAAUUCCAACAGAAUUUGGUGAUGUUCUUAUAGUUAUCUAUCCCAUGAAAAACCAUAUGUUCAGUAUCCAGAUCAUGAAAAAGCCCGAGGUUCCAUUUUUUGGUCCACUUUUUGAUGGUGCUAUUGUGAAUGGAAAAAUUCUGCCUAUUAUGGUUCGUGCAACAGCUAUAAAUGCAAGCCGUGCAUUGAAAUCAUUAAUCCCAUUAUACCAAAACUUUUAUGAGGAGAGAGCACGAUACCUGCAAACAAUUGUUCAACAUCAUCUAGAGCCUACAACMUUUGAAGAUUUUGCUGCUCAGGUUUUCUGUCCAGCACCUUAUCACCAUUUGCCCUCAGAGACCGAUCAUUAAAUAUCAGUUCUGUUUAUCUGAAGGAAUCUCAUUAAUAGGAUCUUGUGAUGCAUUUCAUGUCUGCGCAURUAUAUUCUCUCUCCAUACUACGAAACACGAUGUCCUGUCCUGGGAGCCACAUUCUUCUGGACCUUGCAUUGUGCAGUGGAACUGACCACGACAUCAGUGUCAGGAGCAGCCAGCAGCUUCCUAGGAUGGACAUGCAGCCCAGUGUGACCCAGCAUCAGAGUCAACAACCUGGCCCCACAUCUGCUGACUCUAAGCUUUCAUUUCAGCCCAGGGAAGCUGGGGAUGCUCUGGCAGUCCUGCUUGCAGCCUGAUCCCUGUUCGGAUCUGGAACUCUGAUACUCAGCUCCAGGACAGAGUACCUGGAGUAGCACUGAACCAUCUGCCUCCAGGCUGCUCUAGAGGCCACAAAUUCUAAAGCCUGAGGCAGRUAUAAAAUAACACUACCAGAAAGGUUACCCCAGGGCUUGUCGUUAGCCUGGAAAGCACUGGUUUCCAGUUCUAGCAGAGGCAGRCCUAUUGCCGCAGAUGACCCAAAUUUCUGAUGGACCCCGAUCCCAAGAAAGAGUCCACCAGCAGUGCUAUUAAGAAAACAGAUUCCUCUAAAUUUCCAGGGCCCUUGCAGWAGGUGGAUUUCUUGAAAAAGUACAGAGCAUUGAACUAUGCCAGGAGUGGUCCCUGUCUGGGAAUCCACAUGCAUUCAUCACCCCCAAGAUGACUCGGACAAAACCUUGUAGGGUCCCUGCCAGAUGUGUCCAUGUCAUCUUAACAUUUCUAGCCAGCUUCUAAGACUACAUCACAUUUUUUUAAUACAAAAUAUUUCGUGUAUGUAUAGGGCUUCUUUGAAUUAAAAAAAUUGACCAGACUAGGAAAAGAAAUUUUAGAUAUUAGACUUAAUUAUUUUAUGGAUCAUGAUCUUCAAGAUUUCAACUGCUGAAUAUGUUUAAUUUUAUAAAAUAUUCUAUACAUUUUUUCAUCUAAGAAAGAUCUUAGAAACUGUGAGGCUACWACAGCCCAUCACCAGGUGUUACCAUUUUGUUGUUGUGGUCCCACUGGACUUUUCUUUUUUUUUCAUUUCAGCUAUGAGAAUCAGAGCAAAUAGAGAAUAUUCCAUUCAGUAACAAACUGUAUUUUCUCAGAUGGACUUAUUUUACCAAAGGCUCAGACAUCGGCAGAAACUAUUUCCUUUUUUACUGUGACUGCUCUUCAAUACAGUGUGAUUGUGGCAGCUGCUGUUUUAUCUAGAAGCUUAGUUUGUCCUGUCAAAAUAUCUGACAAGUCCACCUUCCCAUGUUUAGGAACCUGACUAGUGUAGUAAAUGUGUACAUUUAAAGAAAUUGAGAUUUACCUGUACUUAAUCACAGAUUGCAAUUCAGUUGCCUCUGUGUUUUUUACCUUGUGCUGUUUCUGUUAAAUUGAGUAACUGCGAAUACUCUGCUAAACAGAGUAACUCAUCCUAUGCAGAUAUUGAGUGAACCAGAUCUCUGUGACACCAGAAUAGGUUGAGGGAACUGUCAAUGGUAAGCUCAAUUAUAUUGAAGGGCAUAUUGACCUCAUGAGGCUAAGRUUCUGAUCUUUAAAAUGUACUCAUGUCUUGGGUUUGCAUUUUCCUGUCUUYUUUUGUUCCCUUUCUUUCCACUAAGACUAGCACCUCAUUACAGCAAACUUUAUAAAGAGGUCCCUCUACAAUAGUCAUAGUAUUUUCCUUGUGAUAAAGGCAUCAGGCUUUUUGUCCCAACAAUCAUUCCUGUAUUUUCAAGCCUGCAUUCAGAACAAUUCUGCUACCCCAUUCCCAAAGUUAGUCGGGUUGCCACWGCACAAGCAGGGAAGCAGGGGAAUUGCUUCAGCCUUGCACAAUUAAAAAUCAAGUUCAACAGUUUGCAUUUUCUUCCACUGCUUCCUAGGUGCGGAACAUUGAAACUAAUAAUCCUUUUGGCCUCUUACCACCCCUUUACAGAUGAGAAUGAUGGUGCUUUUGUCACUGUAGAAGGAUCUGAGUAACGCUUGGUGGUGGUGGUUUGUGAUUGGAAGUGAAGCUGAAAUCCAGAAGUGAGAGCUUUGUGUCUGACAGGGCUGGAAGAAUUUCUCAUUAUCCCUUCUUCUGUUCAWACUUAGGAACCCUCUUCUUCUUUGCCAGAUCAGAGCAAAACCUCCAAACUUACCUACAUUUUCCAAAGAAUUCAUAUUGGAACAGCUGAAGCUGAAACCUUACACAUUUCUGAACKAUUGUACUAAAGUCAAACACUUGAGUGAAGGUACACUCAGCACUUUGAGACAGCUUCUGCCCAGAGACUCAGCCGGGAGAAACUCCAGCAGCAGCAACAGCACARGUGGAUGGAACA